Molecule: ribosomal RNA, 426 nt
Filed under: Triticum aestivum (bread wheat)
Lineage: Eukaryota; Viridiplantae; Streptophyta; Magnoliopsida; Poales; Poaceae
Description: partial small subunit ribosomal RNA
Source: RNAcentral
AUGGAUCCAUGUGACAUACUGAAUGUGAGGUUUCACUUCGGUGGCUAGUUUGUUCGGAUGGGGCCUAACUUAGAUUAUGUUGGAGGAGAUGAGGCAAUGUCAGAGAUAGAAAGAGACAAGUUGUCUUUGCCAGAACUGAAAGGGUAUCUUGGUGAUCAUGUUCCUUUGAAAAAAAGUAUGAAAAUAUACUUCCUGUUGCCUGGUAAAGAACUAGUGGAUGGGUUGUUUUUCCUGUGUGAUGAUGCUGGCUGCAUUAAAAUGUGUGAAUACAUAACUGAAGGAGGAGGUGCUGAUGUUUAUGUGGAGUAUUCUGGGGAGCAAGAUGAUGGAAGUGCAAGUGACUUUGAAAAUGAGAUGGGUAAUGAGUCAGCGGGAGAGAGUGAUGUAGAACCAGAUGCGAUCAUAACUGCAGAAGAAGAUGUGCAG